This 72-nucleotide transfer RNA is filed under the name Fukomys damarensis (Damara mole-rat). It matches the Rfam family "tRNA". From Rfam's summary of the family: Transfer RNA (tRNA) molecules are approximately 80 nucleotides in length. Their secondary structure includes four short double-helical elements and three loops (D, anti-codon, and T loops). The record is from Rfam by way of RNAcentral. Lineage: Eukaryota; Metazoa; Chordata; Mammalia; Rodentia; Bathyergidae.
UGUGGUGUAGCUCAGUGGUAGAGGGCUUGCCUUACAUGGCUGAGACCCUAGGUUCAAUCCCCAGCACUGCAG